Gallus gallus (chicken) is the source of this 2965-nucleotide long non-coding RNA. RefSeq lists it as uncharacterized. The transcript is spliced from 4 exons. The record is from RefSeq and is a predicted model, not a curated record. Lineage: Eukaryota; Metazoa; Chordata; Aves; Galliformes; Phasianidae.
GCUCCCCAUGUGGGGCCAGGCUGGGUGCUGCGCAGGUGGCCCUGCAUCCCCUGUAUGGAGGCUGGAGGGGAAAAGCUGAGCAUCAGCACCAGGUGAAAGUCCCCACACCUUCACAUGGGGUACACCAGGACGGCUUGUAUGUGGUGAUAUGGGGAAGCCCCAUCCCUCCUGCCGUCCUGCUUCACCUCAGCCAUUAACCUCAAUGAUCCCUUCUCUGCUUGACCUCUUUGAUCAAAUCCAUCACAUCCCUGGAAGCUGCAUUCUUUUCUAAGGAGCUUACGUGGAGUCAGACUCAGUACUCAGCGCUUCAGAGGACCGGCUUGCAGGCAGCUCAAUGGGGUCUAAGGAUUGCUGGAGCUCCUUAAUUGGUGGUGUGAGACCUGCAGAGUAGGUAACGGAACAUCAUGAGCUCUGUGUUGGUGCAUUGCUUGUAUGCAGCUAGGUUUGUGAUGACUGUGGGAAGCUCACUUAGGGAUUGAAUGGGGUUGCAAGGGGCUCACCUCAAUCCAUGGAGUCUGUUAUCCCAUCCCACUGAGCUCCGUGGCUGGUGGUAGAGUGAAGUGCAUCAGCCAGGACCUGAAGAACACUCCUGAACUCCAGUGGCCAUUUGCUUCAUCCUCACUCAGUAUAAUACAGUCUGUACCACCCGAGCAUACUGACCACAAGUAUUCUGUUCCCGUUUUGUCAGGUUCUCUCCUAUAUCUCCCUUACAAAUCUGUCAGUGGUAACAGAUGCCAAGGCAUAGUUCUCAGAGCACAUUGUGGCUGACCACCCCAGGGUCCUAUGGUUCUUUCUGUUUUUAUGACAGAUCUGGCUUUGUAUUUAUAGGAAACAAAGGAUUGUCCUCUACUGGACCACUUUGUCAGGAUCAUCCUGGAUAUCUCCAUCCCAAUUGUCAGGGGAUGCUAUUAGUUUCCUAAUUUGUAUGAUACCCAAAUUCCCCACCCCUCUUCCUUCCAUCCCCUGAACCCCAUUCAAUAGCUAGCUCUGCAGCUAUGGGACUCAACAGUGUGAUGAAGCAAGGCCUCUGAUCUGCUGAAUACCGGGACUGGCACAGAGAGGCUCUGUGGAUCUUCCUGACCGGAGUACUUGGUGAGUUACCCCAGAGCUGCUGAGCAUGCAGGCUUCCCCACCUGCCCUGAUUGCACACCAGGCCAUCAAUGUCCUUUGUGUCAUCGUGUCUCACGGCUUCAGGUAUAGACUCCUUAGAGUUGGAAGGGACCAUUUAUGAUGAUCUUGUCCAACUCCCCCACAAUGAACAGGGACGUCCACAGCUAGAUCAGGCUGCCCAGAACCUGAUCCAGCCUCCCCUUGAAAGAUCCCCUUUAGGUUCUGAAAGACUGUUACCAGGUCACCUCGGAGCCUGAACAGCCCCAGCUCUCUCAGCCUGUCCUUGUAGGAAAGGUGUUUGAUCCCUUGGUUCAUUUUUUUGUGGCCAACCUCUGGUUGUGCUCCAACAGGUCCAUGUCUCUUCUGCACUGAGGACUCUACAUCUGGAUGCAGUACUCCAGACCAGGAUAUGGUUGGUUUUCUGGGCUGGGAGGGCACAUUGCUGGCUCACGUCCAGCUUGCCGUCCACCAGUACCUCCAGGUCUUUUGGGACAGGCCUAUGCUCAGCCCUUUCAUCCCCCGGUAUGUAUUGGUAGCGGGGGGUUCUCUUGUCCCAGGUGCAAGACACUGCAUCUGGAUUUGUCGAACCUGAUGAGAUUUCCCUGUACCCGUUGCUUGAGCCUGUCCAGCUCUGGUUGGUGUCCUGUCCCUCUGGUGUGUCACUGCACCCCACAGCUUGGUGUUGUCAGCAAACUUUCUGAGGGUGUGCUCGACCCCACUGAUGUCGCCGUUGAAGAUAUUGAACAGUAUCAGCCUCAGCAUGGGCCCAUGUGGGACACCACUCAUCACCAAUCGCCAUCCAGACAUGGAGCCAUUGGCCGCCGCUCUCUGGACCCAAUCCUGCAGCUGGUUCUUUGUCCAUUCAACAAUCCACCCAUCAAAUCUGUAUCUUUCCCAUUUGGAGAGAAGGAUGUUGCAGGAUAUUGUGUCAAAGGCCUUACUGACAUCCAGGUUGAUGGUAUCAGUGGCUCUUCACUUGUCUAUUGAUGCAGUGAUGCCAUCAUAGACAGCCACUAGGUUGGCCAUGCAGGAUUUUUACCCUCGGUGAAGACAAGCUGGUUCUCCUGUAUCUCCUCCCUGUCUUGCAUGUGCCUUAACGCAACUUCCAGGAGGAUCUACUCUGUGCUCUUUCCCAGCACAGAGGUGAGACUGUUACAUUGGUAGUUCCCAGGAUCAUCCUUUCUUCCCUUCUUAAAAAUGGGUGUGAUGCUGCCUUUUUUCCAGUCGCUCAGAGAGGCGCUAUUUUUGAUCUAAUGCAACGGCUUCCUGAAAUUCAGUCCAAUCCAAAUUCUCUGCUGUCUAGUUACAAGGACUUCCAACAGACUGUGAGCUCGGGCUUUGCAGGCCAGUAGUGAAGCCAACAGGGAGGCCUCCGGAUUUUCAAAAAGGACUGAGAAGGCUGAGAAUCAGGUGCUUUGUUUGACUUUUUUACUGGCUGUCUUUCCUAAGGAUUCUGGCUGUCAGUAGGCACAUUUGGCUGGUUUGGCUGGAGCUUUGGUGCUUGGUGCUUAUAACUUGAGUUCUUUAUGACACAGAGCUGUGCCACUUGCUGCCUACACCAAAUACACGUGUUGUUGGAGGAGAUUACUCUGUGCACUGUAUUGGUUUUUUUUUUUUUUUUUUUUUUUUUUUUUUAAUGCUUUUAAAGUGUGAGGAUGGUAUCUGCCUUCAAACAAAGAAUGUCUAAAAGCAAUUGAUUUUUCUUUUUUUCUUGGAGCAGUUGUUCAGGGAAAUGUGGAUUCUUUCUUCUCUGCCGCUAUGUUUCCCAUAGCAGUAUUCUAGGAAUGGCUUCUGUCUUCGAUUGCUUACUUGCUUUUUUCAGUAUGGAAACAUUACAUUCUCUUUCUUGUGCCUA